CGAAUGCUGACAUAAGUAACGAUAAAGCGGGUGAAAAGCCCGCUCGCCGGAAGACCAAGGGUUCCUGUCCAACGUUAAUCGGGGCAGGGUGAGUCGACCCCUAAGGCGAGGCCGAAAGGCGUAGUCGAUGGGAAACAGGUUAAUAUUCCUGUACUUGGUGUUACUGCGAAGGGGGGACGGAGAAGGCUAUGUUGGCCGGGCGACGGUUGUCCCGGUUUAAGCGUGUAGGCUGGUUUUCCAGGCAAAUCCGGAAAAUCAAGGCUGAGGCGUGAUGACGAGGCACUACGGUGCUGAAGCAACAAAUGCCCUGCUUCCAGGAAAAGCCUCUAAGCAUCAGGUAACAUCAAAUCGUACCCCAAACCGACACAGGUGGUCAGGUAGAGAAUACCAAGGCGCUUGAGAGAACUCGGGUGAAGGAACUAGGCAAAAUGGUGCCGUAACUUCGGGAGAAGGCACGCUGAUAUGUAGGUGAAGUCCCUCGCGGAUGGAGCUGAAAUCAGUCGAAGAUACCAGCUGGCUGCAACUGUUUAUUAAAAACACAGCACUGUGCAAACACGAAAGUGGACGUAUACGGUGUGACGCCUGCCCGGUGCCGGAAGGUUAAUUGAUGGGGUCAGCGCAAGCGAAGCUCUUGAUCGAAGCCCCGGUAAACGGCGGCCGUAACUAUAACGGUCCUAAGGUAGCGAAAUUCCUUGUCGGGUAAGUUCCGACCUGCACGAAUGGCGUAAUGAUGGCCAGGCUGUCUCCACCCGAGACUCAGUGAAAUUGAACUCGCUGUGAAGAUGCAGUGUACCCGCGGCAAGACGGAAAGACCCCGUGAACCUUUACUAUAGCUUGACACUGAACAUUGAGCCUUGAUGUGUAGGAUAGGUGGGAGGCUUUGAAGUGUGGACGCCAGUCUGCAUGGAGCCGACCUUGAAAUACCACCCUUUAAUGUUUGAUGUUCUAACGUGGACCCGUGAUCCGGGUUGCGGACAGUGUCUGGUGGGUAGUUUGACUGGGGCGGUCUCCUCCUAAAGAGUAACGGAGGAGCACGAAGGUUGGCUAAUCCUGGUCGGACAUCAGGAGGUUAGUGCAAUGGCAUAAGCCAGCUUGACUGCGAGCGUGACGGCGCGAGCAGGUGCGAAAGCAGGUCAUAGUGAUCCGGUGGUUCUGAAUGGAAGGGCCAUCGCUCAACGGAUAAAAGGUACUCCGGGGAUAACAGGCUGAUACCGCCCAAGAGUUCAUAUCGACGGCGGUGUUUGGCACCUCGAUGUCGGCUCAUCACAUCCUGGGGCUGAAGUAGGUCCCAAGGGUAUGGCUGUUCGCCAUUUAAAGUGGUACGCGAGCUGGGUUUAGAACGUCGUGAGACAGUUCGGUCCCUAUCUGCCGUGGGCGCUGGAGAACUGAGGGGGGCUGCUCCUAGUACGAGAGGACCGGAGUGGACGCAUCACUGGUGUUCGGGUUGUCAUGCCAAUGGCACUGCCCGGUAGCUAAAUGCGGAAGAGAUAAGUGCUGAAAGCAUCUAAGCACGAAACUUGCCCCGAGAUGAG
This 1532-nucleotide ribosomal RNA is filed under the name Escherichia coli. RNAcentral describes it as "bacterial LSU rRNA". It matches the Rfam family "Bacterial large subunit ribosomal RNA", at positions 1291 to 2808 of the family's 2925-position model. Lineage: Bacteria; Pseudomonadati; Pseudomonadota; Gammaproteobacteria; Enterobacterales; Enterobacteriaceae. The record is from RNAcentral. RNAcentral also lists the same sequence under 1 other name.